RNAcentral lists this ribosomal RNA (277 nucleotides) under uncultured bacterium. Its description in RNAcentral is "partial 16S ribosomal RNA". It matches the Rfam family "Bacterial small subunit ribosomal RNA", at positions 29 to 303 of the family's 1533-position model. The record is from RNAcentral.
AACGAACGCUGGCGGCGUGCUUAACACAUGCAAGUCGAGUGCGCGCCUGUAGCAAUACAGGUGGCGCACGGCGCACGGGUGCGUAACACGUGGGUAAUCUGCCCUCUGAUGGGGAAUAACCCGCCGAAAGGCGGGCUAAUUCCGCAUAAUAUUCCUUGAUCUUAUGUUCGAGGACUCAAAGGCGUAAGUCGUCGGAGGAGGAGCCCGCGCACGAUUAGCUAGUUGGUAGGGUAAUGGCCUACCAAGGCUUUGAUCGUUAGCUGGUCUGAGAGGAUGG